AUGUCUUUCAAUUCUCGUACUCGUAAUUGGAAAGUUACGGAAGGAGACCCAUCAUUUUGCAAUGAAAACACCAUAUAAAACUCUGGACAAUUUCGAAAUCAGGCCAAGCGUCUUAAUACAUAUGCAAAAAAAAUCAUUAUUGGCCCACCAUUGAUUAGAAGAUUUAGCUUGUAUGAAUCGCUAUUGGUUGGAUACUAA
RNAcentral lists this ribosomal RNA (198 nucleotides) under Triticum aestivum (bread wheat). RNAcentral's name for it is "partial small subunit ribosomal RNA". The record is from RNAcentral. Lineage: Eukaryota; Viridiplantae; Streptophyta; Magnoliopsida; Poales; Poaceae.